UACGUAGGGUGCAAGCGUUGUCCGGAAUUAUUGGGCGUAAAGAGCUCGUAGGCGGUUUGUCGCGUCGGGAGUGAAAACACCGGGCUUAACUCGGUGCUUGCUUUCGAUACGGGCAGACUAGAGGCAUGCAGGGGAGAACGGAAUUCCUGGUGUAGCGGUGAAAUGCGCAGAUAUCAGGAGGAACACCGGUGGCGAAGGCGGUUCUCUGGGCAUGUCCUGACGCUGAGGAGCGAAAGUGUGGGGAGCGAACAGG
Molecule: ribosomal RNA, 253 nt
Filed under: uncultured bacterium
Lineage: Bacteria
Description: partial 16S ribosomal RNA
Rfam family: Bacterial small subunit ribosomal RNA
Source: RNAcentral